Paramuricea clavata is the source of this 1246-nucleotide non-coding RNA. The record is from the annotation of a GenBank genome assembly. Lineage: Eukaryota; Metazoa; Cnidaria; Anthozoa; Malacalcyonacea; Plexauridae.
CCCCCCCCCAGUCGUCUGGUAGUCGGCAAAUUAUUGUAUCCCAGUCCCCAAAUUGUUUUCCCAGUCGGCAAAACACGAAUUGGAUAGGAAGGGGAAAAGUAAUUUGGGGUAAUUUACGGAAACUAAACGAGUAACGGUACGUCAAGCCAAAAAUGGUGAAAAAUGUAAUGUCGGGAAUUUUUUUAUGUUCCGGCGGAAACUUCCAUUCCCUCCCCCUCCCCCCCCCCCUCCCGAAAAAGGGACUAAGGUCCCCGACAGGGGGCUAAGUUCGUACAGAAUCUUUUCGAUGGCGCCAGAAAUUCUUCGACAAAGGGGCUAAGGUCCCCGAGAGGGGACGAAGUUGGUACAUGCAAAACCUUUUUGGGGGGCAGUAUUUUUCCCCCGAAACAAAGCGGUGUAAGUACAUUUUUGCCGACUCAUAUUAUACUAUUUCUUUUCCCAAAUUUGUUUGCAGGGGGGGGGGGGGAGGAUCUGAACAUACAAAAAAUUUCCCGACAUUACAUAUUCUUUUGCGUUAAACAUACGUUAUUUGUUUAAAAUUUUCCUUCAUGUUUUCGUGAAUCUCUCUAAAUUCUGGCUAUAGUUCUCACUUUUUAAUCAUUGUCCUUUAUCUAUUUUAGUUUCCCUCAAAACACACUGUUUAUAAAACAUAGUCUCUUCCCCGACAAAAUUCUAAUUUACACACAAAAAUAUGGUUCACAUUAAAAAAGUCGGGUUGAAAAAUCGGACGAUUCCCAAUUUGACAAAUCGGCUGUCCAUUUUGUAUAUUUUUUGCUGGAAUCCCGCUGUACGCUGUAACACUAUCCUGUCCUGAAUAAGGUUGGGAAAAUUAAUGAUGCAUGAUGGGAAUGAUCAGGGCUGAAAUUUGAUUUUCGUCAUCUUUCCCAUCGUGCAUCAAUAAGCCCUGUUGACAGCAAUCUGUUUUUGUGUAAAAACGCAUACUUUUGUAUCACUAGUCGUCCACAAAAAUGCGAUAGAAAAUGGAUACCUUCACCAAGAAAGCGGAUCGAGCUUUUCGAAAACGGCUUUGAAAGUGGAGACUUUUAAAAACGGUAGCGUUUUGGAUUAGGGACCGUUCAUUAUUUAUACUCUAGGGUGGGGUGGGAAAAAUUGAGGGGGGUCAUGUAAAGUUCAUCUUUUCCUACGGGGGGGACUUGCUUUUUUGGAGUCUUGUCGGGGGGGGUGUUAAAAAAAGAACUGAAAAUAUUGUAGCACCUGUCUACAUAUAGAACAUUUUAGAUUUAGA